Molecule: transfer RNA, 72 nt
Filed under: Capra hircus (goat)
Lineage: Eukaryota; Metazoa; Chordata; Mammalia; Artiodactyla; Bovidae
Also listed under: 1 other name
Rfam family: tRNA
About the family: Transfer RNA (tRNA) molecules are approximately 80 nucleotides in length. Their secondary structure includes four short double-helical elements and three loops (D, anti-codon, and T loops). Further hydrogen bonds mediate the characteristic L-shaped molecular structure. tRNAs have two regions of fundamental functional importance: the anti-codon, which is responsible for specific mRNA codon recognition, and the 3' end, to which the tRNAs corresponding amino acid is attached (by aminoacyl-tRNA synthetases). tRNAs cope with the degeneracy of the genetic code in two manners: having more than one tRNA (with a specific anti-codon) for a particular amino acid; and 'wobble' base-pairing, i.e. permitting non-standard base-pairing at the 3rd anti-codon position.
Source: Rfam by way of RNAcentral
UCCCUGGUAGCUAAGCUGGUAAAGGACCUCCCUGCAACGCAGGAGAUCCUGGUUCAAUUCCUGGGUUGGGAA